AUGGCGGAGCCGGGCGGCGCGCUCGACCCCCCUCCUCCCCCCUCUCCGGCUGCGCCGACCCCGCCGGUCCAGUGGCCCAAGGACGGCUCGCUCGACCCGCCUCCUUCCCCCUCUCCGGUCGCGCAGCCCCCGCCGGUCGAGUGGCCCGAGGACGGCGUGCUGACGCGGGACUGGGUGGCCAGCUUCACCGCGGCGCUGGACUGGUGCUCGCGGAGCAUCCCGCCGGACCAGCUCCCCUCGGUGCUCUCCGCGGAUUUCGUGCGGCGGCUCGUCGUCGCCGCGGCCGUCAUCCUCCACCGCGAGCCCAACAUCGUCCGCGUCGACCCGCGGCCCGACCAGUCCGUCGUCGUCGUGGGGGACGUCCACGGCCAGCUCCACGAUGUCAUGUUCCUGCUCCGGGACGCCGGGUUCCCCUCGGAGGAGCGAAUCUUUGUCUUUAACGGGGAUUACGUGGAUCGCGGCGCUUGGGGCCUCGAGACCUUGCUCCUCCUCCUGGCUUGGAAGGUAUUCCUUCCAAAUUGUGUGUUUCUUCUCCGAGGAAAUCAUGAAUCCAAGUACUGCACGUCAGUAUAUGGUUUCGAACAGGAGGUAAUGGUUAAAUAUAAAGGUCAAGGCACUCAAGUUUAUCGGAAGUUUUUAAGAUGUUUUGAAGAUCUCCCUCUAGCAUCAAUAAUAGCAGGAUGUGUGUAUACUGCUCAUGGAGGGAUUUUUCGUGGGGCGGUUGUACUACCGUUGAAAAGGUCGAAAAGGGCAAAGAAAGGUCACAAAUAUAAGGCGGGUCCUACUGAUGACUCUACUACUUUGAAGCUUGGAUCCCUGGACGAAUUGUUAAAAGCAAGGAGAACUGUUCUUGACACCCCGUAUGAGGGUUCAAACUUGAUUCCUGGAGAUGUGCUUUGGUCUGAUCCUUCCUUAGAUAAGGGUCUUUCCCUGAAUAAUGAAAGGGGCAUUGGUUUGCUUUGGGGUCCAGAUAUCACUCAACAGUUUCUAUAUACAAAUAAUCUGAAGUUAAUCAUCAGAUCACAUGAAGGCCCAGAUGCAAGAGAUAAGCGGCAUGAUCUAUUAGCAAUGGACAGUGGAUAUACAAUCGACCAUCAUGUCGCAUGCGGAAAGUUAAUAACUCUCUUCAGUGCCCCAGACUAUCCACAAUUUCAGGCCUCAGUGGACCGUUACAACAAUUCUGGAGCAUAUAUUGUCCUCAGUCCCCCUGAUUUUGCUACCCCUGAUUUCCAUACUUUUCAAGCUGUAAAGCCUCGGCCUAAGGCGCAUCCCUACUAUGAUUUUGAAGACGUAAUUGAUUCUGAUGAAGAGUUAAAUCUAGGCGCCAUGGACACUGGCACGUCGAGCAGUUGA
This 1353-nucleotide ribosomal RNA is filed under the name Triticum aestivum (bread wheat). Its description in RNAcentral is "partial small subunit ribosomal RNA". The record is from RNAcentral. Lineage: Eukaryota; Viridiplantae; Streptophyta; Magnoliopsida; Poales; Poaceae.